Molecule: ribosomal RNA, 440 nt
Filed under: uncultured bacterium
Lineage: Bacteria
Description: partial 16S ribosomal RNA
Rfam family: Bacterial small subunit ribosomal RNA
Source: RNAcentral
CCUACGGGUGGCAGCAGUGGGGGAUAUUGCACAAUGGGGGAAACCCUGAUGCAGCGACGCCGCGUGUGGGAAGACGGUCCUCUGGAUUGUAAACCACUGUCCCCAGGGACGAAAAUGACGGUACCUGGGGAGGAAGCUCCGGCUACCUACGUGCCAGCAGCCGCGGUAAUACGUAGGGAGCGAGGGUUGUCCGGAUUUACUGGGUGAAAGGGGAGCGUAGGCGGGGAUGCAAGUUGGGUGUCAAAACUACCGGCUCAACUGGUAGUCGCACUCAAAACUGCAGCUCUUGAGUGAAGUAGAGGCAGGCGGAAUUCCUGGUGUAGCGGUGAAAUGCGUAGAUAUUAGGAGGAACACCAGUGGCGAAGGCGGCCUGCUGGGCUGUUACUGACGCUGAGGCUCGAAAGUGUGGGGAGCAAACAGGAUUAGAUACCCUGGUAGUC